Molecule: long non-coding RNA, 1635 nt
Organism: Stegodyphus dumicola
Lineage: Eukaryota; Metazoa; Arthropoda; Arachnida; Araneae; Eresidae
Gene: fs(1)h
Source: RefSeq, a predicted model, not a curated record
GAAAAAAGAUAAUCAAUAAUAAAAUUUUACAUUUAGCUGCAAGGAACAAAGCUGCAGGAAAGUCUAAAGAGGAACACAUACGAGAGAAGAAGCAAGAGCUUGAGAAGCGCUUGCAAGAUGUUAGUGGUCAAUUAGGCCAGCCUCCCAAAAAGUCUAAUAAAAAGGAUGCUGAAAACGCUAAUUCAGAAGUUGCUGGUGGUCCGAGUCGCCUUAGUGCCAGUAGCAGCAGCUCUAGUGAAAGUGACAGCAGUACUACCAGCAGUUCAAGUAGUUCUUCAGAUACGAGUGAUUCAGAAUGAACUCUCUUCAACUACUUACUUUAUGUACCAAAUCUGGCCUUAGGACACAGAGGAUUGAUGAAGCACAAAUACGUGAAAGAAGAUAGCUUGACAUUUGUUAUGGGCAUCCUUAAUUGGAAAUUUGCGUUGUUAGCAAAUGUCUUUACAUGAACUUUUUUUCUCCUGUCAAGUUAAUUGGGAUUCCGAAGUUGUACUUUACAAUUUUAUACACAGUGUGAUCUCCUGGAUAUCUUGCAGUUUUGCUUAAUUAUAUACAUUUUUGCUGGGCCUGAUGGCUUUUGCCAAAAUACUUCUUAGUGUGGGUGCUUCGAGUCUUCUGGCACAUGUUAUGUGAUGCGUAACUCUGAGGUCAGUGUAACAUAACUUAUUCCACCAUUUGCAAAAGCCAAGAGACAUUAUAGUGAUGUUCAUUUGUAAAUAUUAAAUAAUCAUGAAGCUCUCAUGUCAUUCAUCCCUAUAAACAACUUAGCCUUGGCUCUUGAGUACCAUUGUAAAUCUACCAUAAUCACAUUAUCAAUGUAUAUUUCAUUUUCGAAAACUGUAAAAAAUUCUGAAAUCGUGAAGCAUCUAUGUGAAACUUGAAUGUUUUCACUUUUUGUCUGUCAGUCUAAUUUUUGUCUGUGUAGUUAAAUUAACUUUUACCACUCUGAGCUGUGAAGCAUCACUGGACAUGUUUCUGUCCUGCAUUACCUCAGGAUAUUUUUAAGUGCAUAACUAUUUAAAUUGCAAGUCAUUUGAACUGGUUUGAUGUUACAGCUUGUAUGAUAACCUCAAAAUCAAAAUUAAUUGUGUCUCCAGUCUGUAUUACAUAUCCGAUUCUUAAAUUGGUAAAGGAAGGUAAUUAUUGGCCACUGAUAUUUAAAUUGUUAUGCUUGAGAAUAAUUUAAAAGACAGUAUUUUUUUUUUUUUUUUUUUUUUUUUUCCAUUUUUGAAUUCAAAAUACCCUGAAGUUGUUUUGGUGUCUUUCCAUGUCAGUGUGGCAAGCAAUUACUUUAUUAAUGUAGUCUAAAUGUGGAUAUUUAAAUCUGUAUAUUUUAUGUAGGAAAAAUCAGUUUAAGGAUUACAUUUUACUAAGUUAAUGCUGCAAUUUUGUGCAUACGCAUUGUACAAAAAGCUUGUGGGGAAAGGUUUAUUUAAUACAAAAAACUUCUUGUGGGAAAAAAAUUAUGGCAUGUAUUUUUCACUUAAAAAUAAUAUACAUGAUGCUUUUGCUUCAAACACAUCGACAGAUGAAAAUUAUUAAAUUUAUUGAGUUUGGCUUAUACAUAGAUGUGAUAAAUUUGUUUAAUUCAGUACAAAUUAAGCAUGCAAAGUGAAAUAAAGUCAUUGCAAAAUA